Molecule: transfer RNA, 68 nt
Filed under: Raillietina tetragona
Lineage: Eukaryota; Metazoa; Platyhelminthes; Cestoda; Cyclophyllidea; Davaineidae
Description: tRNA-Asn
Source: RNAcentral
GUUCAUAUAGAUUAUACGUUUAUAAAUCAUGAUGCUGUUAACUUCAAGAAGAAAAUGUUCUGUGAACG